GAUGAAGAACGCAGCGAAAUGCGAUACGUAGUGUGAAUUGCAGAAUUCAGUGAAUCAUCGAAUCUUUGAACGCUCAUUGCAGCUCUCGGUAUUCCGGGAGGUAUGCCUGUUCGAGCGUCAUUUGUACCCUCAAGCUCUGCUUGGUGUUGGGUGUUUGUUCCGCCUCUGUGUGUGAACUCGCCUCAAAACAAUUGGCAGCCGGCGUACUUGUUUCGGAGCGCAGCACAUUUUGCGAUCCAGAUCAACGUACAGCGGCAUCCAAGAAGCCUUAUUUAACGCUCUUGACCUCGGAUCAGGUAGGGAUACCCGCUGAACUUAAGCAUAUCAAUAAGCGGAGGA
RNAcentral lists this unclassified non-coding RNA (339 nucleotides) under soil metagenome. Its description in RNAcentral is "partial contains 5.8S ribosomal RNA, internal transcribed spacer 2, and large subunit ribosomal RNA". The stretch from base 1 to 120 matches the Rfam family "5.8S ribosomal RNA", at positions 35 to 154 of the family's 154-position model. The record is from RNAcentral.